This 362-nucleotide long non-coding RNA is filed under the name Olea europaea subsp. europaea. The record is from RNAcentral. Lineage: Eukaryota; Viridiplantae; Streptophyta; Magnoliopsida; Lamiales; Oleaceae.
CUCCACCAGAUCUUCCAACUCCUACUCCACCAAAUCGCUAAAUAGGGUUCAGGACAGUUUGCAUCCUUCAUAUCUACAAAAUACCUAAUUAAUCUACUUACAUGAAUCUCCUUUCAUGUGUUAUAGAACAUAAAAGUUAAAUUAAACAUCAAUAGACGACCAAAUGUUAGAGAAAGAAGCAUGAGUUUGGAAAAUGAGACACACCAUCAAUAACCAUUGCCUGUACCACUUUCGGUGUUUACUCAUUUCAUUCACUGUUGGGCAGUUUUCAAAACAGCCCUUGACCUUAUAACUCCAACCCAAUUUGUCUCCAGACACAAAACCUUAGUCAUUAUGUGGGAAGAACUUGAUUUGGGUUUCUU